UACGGAGGAUGCGAGCGUUAUCCGGAUUUAUUGGGUUUAAAGGGUGCGCAGGCGGACUGUUAAGUCAGCGGUAAAAUGUCGGUGCUCAACACCGGCCGGCCGUUGAAACUGGCAGCCUUGAGUGAGCGAGAAGUAUGCGGAAUGCGUGGUGUAGCGGUGAAAUGCAUAGAUAUCACGCAGAACUCCGAUUGCGAAGGCAGCUUACCAGACUGAGUCUGACGCUGAUGCACGAGAGCAUGGGUAGCGAACAGG
This 252-nucleotide ribosomal RNA is filed under the name uncultured Bacteroidales bacterium. RNAcentral's name for it is "partial 16S ribosomal RNA". It matches the Rfam family "Bacterial small subunit ribosomal RNA", at positions 524 to 776 of the family's 1533-position model. Lineage: Bacteria; Pseudomonadati; Bacteroidota; Bacteroidia; Bacteroidales. The record is from RNAcentral.